UACAGAGGGUGCGAGCGUUAAUCGGAAUUACUGGGCGUAAAGCGCGCGUAGGCGGCUUUGCAAGUCGGGUGUGAAAUCCCCAGGCUUAACCUGGGAACUGCAUUCGAGACUGCAUUGCUAGAGUAUGGGAGAGGGAAGUGGAAUUUCCGGUGUAGCGGUGAAAUGCGUAGAUAUCGGAGGGAACAUCAGUGGCGAAAGCGACUUCCUGGACCAAUACUGACGCUCAUGUGCGAAAGCGUGGGGAGCAAACAGG
RNAcentral lists this ribosomal RNA (253 nucleotides) under uncultured bacterium. RNAcentral describes it as "partial 16S ribosomal RNA". It matches the Rfam family "Bacterial small subunit ribosomal RNA", at positions 524 to 776 of the family's 1533-position model. The record is from RNAcentral.